RNAcentral lists this long non-coding RNA (250 nucleotides) under Jatropha curcas. RNAcentral's name for it is "long non-coding RNA (JCUR_LNC003084)". The record is from RNAcentral. Lineage: Eukaryota; Viridiplantae; Streptophyta; Magnoliopsida; Malpighiales; Euphorbiaceae.
UGGACUUUUACUGUUGCCGAGUGGACUUUUACUGUUGCCGAGUGGACCUUGAAAACUGUUCUGUCACUUGAAUUUUGGCGUUUUACUACACAAAGAUUGAAGGAAUAAGGUUCCUUCUGCCUGUUUAUAAUGAUUCAGAACAAGAUGAGGACGAUGAUGUGUCCUUCUUUUUCUUUUUUAGCUUUUCUUUUUUCUUUAUUUUUUCUUUCUCCUUUAGCUUUUCUUUUCUUGCUAUAGCUUUUGAUUUUUU